GUCCACCUUUGGGUGCGUACUGCUCAGCGGCGUUCGCGUCGCGUGGCUGAGCCUUGGCCGCGUCCUCGCAUGCAGCAAUGUGUGCGCGGGACAGGCAGUUACCUUGAAAAAAUUAGAGUGUUCAAAGCAGGCGUCUCCGCCGGAAUAGAUUAGCAUGGAAUAACGGAGUAGGACCUUGGUCUUGUUUUGCUGGUUCUCAGGACCACGGUAAUGAUCAACAGGGACAGUUGGGGGCACUCGUAUUUCAUUGC
Molecule: ribosomal RNA, 251 nt
Filed under: uncultured fungus
Lineage: Eukaryota; Fungi
Description: partial 18S ribosomal RNA
Rfam family: Eukaryotic small subunit ribosomal RNA (bases 99-251)
Source: RNAcentral